Capsicum annuum is the source of this 1438-nucleotide long non-coding RNA. RefSeq lists it as uncharacterized. The record is from RefSeq and is a predicted model, not a curated record. The transcript is spliced from 3 exons. Lineage: Eukaryota; Viridiplantae; Streptophyta; Magnoliopsida; Solanales; Solanaceae.
GUCUUAAUUAUCUUCAUAUCCAUAUUUUAAUCAUUUAUAACACAUGAAAAAUUUGAUCUCCAUGAACUAUUUUUUAGUUUCUAUAUUAUAAUUGAAAAGUUCAUCAAUUGUUAAGAUUUCACACACUUCAAAGUGCGAUUUUUUACAUAGAUGAUUGAAGCUUGUAUUUGAUUACUUAAAAGUAGUGAAACAGAUAACUUUUAUGAAAAACAAAUGAUGUGUAGUGAUACUGAUUUUGUAGAAUCUCCUUUCAAUAUUGUGUUUUCGUCACAUGCAAGUUCAAAAAAUAGAUAAAUUAUUGAUAAAAAUAAAAUAUUUGUUAGAUUUGUGGAUAAGAAAUGAAGUACUAAAGGAAAGGAAAAGAUUAUUGAAGAAUUAUUUGAUGUUAAAGAAAAAUGUUAUUUUGGAGGAAAGAUACCUAUUUGCAGAAGGAAGAAGAAAAUUGCAAUUAAAAAUCGCAUCUUAUAGUUAUGGGUUUAUGAAUGUUGUUCAAGUGUAAAUCCUGAAAUCGCAUAUCGAGUUGUUGAUAGAGUACCAAGAAUAUUAAAUUAAAAAGUGGUUCAUCAUAUGCCAUCGAUAAAAAUCUUAUGGCAGUCUUUAUUUAGCCAAUGAGAAGGUAUGGUCAAACAUUUCUCCUACAGUUGAUGAAUUGGGAGUACUUAAGUUGCUGACUGAUAAUGUAUUUCAGUUUCAUCGUAUCAAUUUUUUUUUAAAACUCCAUUACUUAACAAAAGAAGGUUUGCAAGAAAGCGCAUAAAGGUGAAAAGAAUGUCUGUAAGGUAAUGAAAAAAUGUGAAGAAAAUAAUUUUAAAUUUAAAGUUAAAAGUUAUUGAUUACUACUUCAUUGAUAUUAUUUGUUGUAAUACAUAUAAUUUUAUUUAUUACUUCAACAUUCAAUAAUUGUAUAUAUAGCUUACAAAGGAGUUGCCUAUAUUAAAAAAUGUCAAAGAAGAAUCGAUUGCCGGGUCAUUGAAGAAAGUAUCAACUAAGCGUGAUGAUGAUAACAACAAUUAUCCAAGGAUGAAUUCUAAUGAGAAGUCAAAAGUUACAACAGUUUGUUUUAGUGAUUAUGUUUUGCUGACUGAAUUUGACAAGGUAAAUCUUUUUUUAUAUUAUUCAUUACAUUUUAAUAAGCUAUGAUGUUAGAAUAUUAUUAAGAUUAAUAUGUUUAAUUAAUAUAUCUUUUAAUAUAUUGAUUUAAUCAUAUAAACAGCUUAGCAGUGAGUUAAAUAUUUCAAGACCUAUGUGAAGAUAUCUCUUCAACAAUUAAAUGUUAAUUCAAAUUGUGAGGUACUAUCAAUUUCAUAUUUAUUAAUAUUACAAGACUGUAACAUAUGACAUCUUGGGAUCAUUUUUUUUUAAAUCUUAUUUUCCAUCUUAAAUCAACCAUAACUGUUAGUAACGUCAAAGUGAAAAUAUAGAUGUUAAAAAUGUGUUG